This 21-nucleotide microRNA is filed under the name Gallus gallus (chicken). Its description in RNAcentral is "gga-miR-1597-5p". The record is from miRBase by way of RNAcentral. Lineage: Eukaryota; Metazoa; Chordata; Aves; Galliformes; Phasianidae.
AUGUUUACAGGGCUCUUCAUU